AAGUCGGUUGUGAAAGCCUUCCGCUCAACGGAAGAACGGCAUCCGAUACUGCAUGGCUUGAGUGUGGGAGGGGAGAGUGGAACUUCUGGUGGAGCGGUGAAGUGCGUAGAUAUCAGAAGGAACACCGGCGGCGAAGGCGACUCUCUGGUCCAUAACUGACGCUGAGUGUGCGAAAGCUAGGGGAGCAAACGGGAUUAGAUACCCCGGUAGUCCUAGCCGUAAACGAU
RNAcentral lists this ribosomal RNA (227 nucleotides) under uncultured bacterium. RNAcentral describes it as "partial 16S ribosomal RNA". It matches the Rfam family "Bacterial small subunit ribosomal RNA", at positions 585 to 810 of the family's 1533-position model. The record is from RNAcentral.